RNAcentral lists this ribosomal RNA (253 nucleotides) under uncultured bacterium. RNAcentral describes it as "partial 16S ribosomal RNA". It matches the Rfam family "Bacterial small subunit ribosomal RNA", at positions 524 to 776 of the family's 1533-position model. The record is from RNAcentral.
UACGUAGGUGUCAAGCGUUGUCCGGAUUUACUGGGCGUAAAGAGCGCGCAGGCGGUCGUUCAAGUCGAGUGUGAAAGCCCCCGGCUCAACUGGGGAGGGUCACUCGAUACUGAUCGACUUGAAGGCAGGAGAGGGAAGCGGAAUUCCCGGUGUAGUGGUGAAAUGCGUAGAUAUCGGGAGGAACACCAGUGGCGAAGGCGGCUUCCUGGCCUGUUCUUGACGCUGAGGAGCGAAAGCGUGGGGAGCGAACAGG